CCCUUAGAUGUUCUGGGCCGCACGCGCGCUACACUGAUGCAUUCAACGAGUCUAAAACCUGCUCUGAUAGGGGUGGGUAAUCUUUUGAAUGUGCAUCGUGAUUGGGGUAGAUGAUUGCAAUUUUUCAUCUUCAACGAGGAAUGCCUAGUAAACGCAAGUCAUCAGCUUGCAUUGAUUACGUCCCUGCCCUUUGUACACACCGCCCGUCGCUCCUACCGAUUGAAUGAUCCGAUGAAUAUCAUGGAUUGAGGAUGCAAGUAGGUUCGCCUAUCUUCAUCUUCGAGAAGUGAAGUAAAUCUUAUCAUUUAGAGGAAGGAGAAGUCGUAACA
Molecule: ribosomal RNA, 329 nt
Filed under: uncultured eukaryote
Lineage: Eukaryota
Description: partial 18S ribosomal RNA
Rfam family: Eukaryotic small subunit ribosomal RNA
Source: RNAcentral